UACGUAGGGUGCGAGCGUUGUCCGGAAUUAUUGGGCGUAAAGGGCUCGUAGGCGGUUUGUCGCGUCGGGAGUGAAAACCUUGGGCUUAACUCAGGGCUUGCUUUCGAUACGGGCAGACUAGAGGUAUGCAGGGGAGAACGGAAUUCCUGGUGUAGCGGUGAAAUGCGCAGAUAUCAGGAGGAACACCGGUGGCGAAGGCGGUUCUCUGGGAAUGAUCUGACGCUGAGGAGCGAAAGUGUGGGGAGCGAACAGG
RNAcentral lists this ribosomal RNA (253 nucleotides) under uncultured bacterium. RNAcentral describes it as "partial 16S ribosomal RNA". It matches the Rfam family "Bacterial small subunit ribosomal RNA", at positions 524 to 776 of the family's 1533-position model. The record is from RNAcentral.